GAGUUUGAUCGUGGCUCAGAUUGAACGCUGGCGGCAUGCCUUACACAUGCAAGUCGAACGGCAGCAUGAUCUAGCUUGCUAGAUUGAUGGCGAGUGGCGAACGGGUGAGUAAUACAUCGGAACGUGCCCUGUAGUGGGGGAUAACUAGUCGAGAGAUUAGCUAAUACCGCAUACGACCUGAGGGUGAAAGUGGGGGACCGCAAGGCCUCAUGCUAUAGGAGCGGCCGAUGUCUGAUUAGCUAGUUGGUGGGGUAAAGGCCCACCAAGGCGACGAUCAGUAGCUGGUCUGAGAGGACGAUCAGCCACACUGGGACUGAGACACGGCCCAGACUCCUACGGGAGGCAGCAGUGGGGAAUUUUGGACAAUGGGCGAAAGCCUGAUCCAGCAAUGCCGCGUGUGUGAAG
This 405-nucleotide ribosomal RNA is filed under the name uncultured microorganism. RNAcentral's name for it is "bacterial SSU rRNA". It matches the Rfam family "Bacterial small subunit ribosomal RNA", at positions 9 to 410 of the family's 1533-position model. The record is from RNAcentral.